CAGGUACAGAGGGAUGCUACCGGGCGACCGGAUGCGGAUCUCGAAAGCCUGUCCCAGUUCGGACUGGAGUCUGCAACCCGACUCCACGAAGUUGGAUUCGCUAGUAAUCGCGCAUCAGCCAUGGCGCGGUGAAUACGUUCCCGGGCCUUGUACACACCGCCCGUCAAGCCAUGGGAGCCGGGGGCGCCUGAAGUCCGGGACCGCGAGGACCGGCCUAGGGCGAAACUGGUAACUGGAGCUAAGUCGUAACAAGGUAAC
RNAcentral lists this ribosomal RNA (258 nucleotides) under uncultured bacterium. Its description in RNAcentral is "partial 16S ribosomal RNA". It matches the Rfam family "Bacterial small subunit ribosomal RNA", at positions 1234 to 1500 of the family's 1533-position model. The record is from RNAcentral.